CCUACGGGAGGCAGCAGUCGAGAAUCAUUCACAAUGGGGGAAACCCUGAUGGUGCGACGCCGCGUGGGGGAAUGAAGGUCUUCGGAUUGUAAACCCCUGUCAUGUGGGAGCAAAUUAAAAAGAUAGUACCACACGAGGAAGAGACGGCUAACUCUGUGCCAGCAGCCGCGGUAAUACAGAGGUCUCAAGCGUUGUUCGGAAUCACUGGGCGUAAAGCGUGCGUAGGCUGUUUCGUAAGUCGUGUGUGAAAGGCGCGGGCUCAACCCGCGGACGGCACAUGAUACUGCGAGACUAGAGUAAUGGAGGGGGAACCGGAAUUCUCGGUGUAGCAGUGAAAUGCGUAGAUAUCGAGAGGAACACUCGUGGCGAAGGCGGGUUCCUGGACAGUAACUGACGCUGAGGCACGAAGGCCAGGGGAGCGAAAGGGAUUAGAUACCCGAGUAGUC
RNAcentral lists this ribosomal RNA (446 nucleotides) under uncultured bacterium. RNAcentral describes it as "partial 16S ribosomal RNA". It matches the Rfam family "Bacterial small subunit ribosomal RNA", at positions 338 to 795 of the family's 1533-position model. The record is from RNAcentral.